AACGAACGCUGGCGGCAGGCUUAACACAUGCAAGUCGAACGCUCGUAGCAAUACGGGAGUGGCGGACGGGUGAGUAACGCGUGGGAACGUGCCCUGAGGUACGGAAUAACUGCGGGAAACUGCAGCUAAUACCGUAUGAGCCCCGCAAGGGGGAAAGAUUUAUCGCCUUGGGAGCGGCCCGCGUCGGAUUAGCUAGUUGGUGGGGUAACGGCCUACCAAGGCUUCGAUCCGUAGCUGGUCUGAGAGGACGAUCAGCCACACUGGGACUGAGACACGGCCCAGACUCCUACGGGAGGCAGCAGUGGGGAAUCUUGCGCAAUGGGGGCAACCCUGACGCAGCCAUGCCGCGUGAAUGAUGAAGGCCUUAGGGUUAUAAAGUUCUUUUGCCCGUGACGAUGAUGACGGUAACGGGAGAAUAAGCUCCGGCUAACUUCGUG
This 437-nucleotide ribosomal RNA is filed under the name uncultured bacterium. RNAcentral's name for it is "bacterial SSU rRNA". It matches the Rfam family "Bacterial small subunit ribosomal RNA", at positions 29 to 507 of the family's 1533-position model. The record is from RNAcentral.